UCAUAGGUAGCUCAGUGGUAGAGCGAUGGUCUGAAAAACCAUAGGUCGGUGGUUCGAUUCCAUUCCUACCCA
RNAcentral lists this transfer RNA (72 nucleotides) under Acanthamoeba castellanii. RNAcentral describes it as "tRNA-Phe". It matches the Rfam family "tRNA". From Rfam's summary of the family: Transfer RNA (tRNA) molecules are approximately 80 nucleotides in length. Their secondary structure includes four short double-helical elements and three loops (D, anti-codon, and T loops). The record is from RNAcentral. Lineage: Eukaryota; Discosea; Longamoebia; Acanthamoebidae.